RNAcentral lists this transfer RNA (81 nucleotides) under Candidatus Cytomitobacter primus. It matches the Rfam family "tRNA". From Rfam's summary of the family: Transfer RNA (tRNA) molecules are approximately 80 nucleotides in length. Their secondary structure includes four short double-helical elements and three loops (D, anti-codon, and T loops). Further hydrogen bonds mediate the characteristic L-shaped molecular structure. tRNAs have two regions of fundamental functional importance: the anti-codon, which is responsible for specific mRNA codon recognition, and the 3' end, to which the tRNAs corresponding amino acid is attached (by aminoacyl-tRNA synthetases). tRNAs cope with the degeneracy of the genetic code in two manners: having more than one tRNA (with a specific anti-codon) for a particular amino acid; and 'wobble' base-pairing, i.e. permitting non-standard base-pairing at the 3rd anti-codon position. Lineage: Bacteria; Pseudomonadati; Pseudomonadota; Alphaproteobacteria; Holosporales; Holosporaceae. The record is from Rfam by way of RNAcentral.
GCGGAUGUGGUGGAAUGGUAGACACGUUAGAUUUAGGUUCUAAUGGCGCAAGCUGUGGGGGUUCAAGUCCCUUCAUCCGUA